This 72-nucleotide transfer RNA is filed under the name Caerostris darwini. Its description in RNAcentral is "tRNA-Glu". It matches the Rfam family "tRNA". From Rfam's summary of the family: Transfer RNA (tRNA) molecules are approximately 80 nucleotides in length. Their secondary structure includes four short double-helical elements and three loops (D, anti-codon, and T loops). The record is from RNAcentral. Lineage: Eukaryota; Metazoa; Arthropoda; Arachnida; Araneae; Araneidae.
UCCGGCAUGGUCUAGUGGCUAGGAUACCUGGCUCUCACCCAGGAGGCCCGGGUUCAAUUCCCGGUGACGGAA